GGGGUGUGCUCAGAGCAGGGAGUCUGAAGAAAUGGCUCCUCUGUUUACAACACACCCAACAGGAAUCUGGGUUUUUUGUGGCAAUGGGCACAAAUCUUGUGGCCUUCCCUGAACAAAUACCCUACAAGA
This is a small nucleolar RNA of Manis javanica (Malayan pangolin), 129 nucleotides long. RefSeq annotates it as small nucleolar RNA SNORA11. Lineage: Eukaryota; Metazoa; Chordata; Mammalia; Pholidota; Manidae. The record is from RefSeq and is a predicted model, not a curated record.